RNAcentral lists this ribosomal RNA (194 nucleotides) under uncultured bacterium. RNAcentral describes it as "partial 16S ribosomal RNA". It matches the Rfam family "Bacterial small subunit ribosomal RNA", at positions 324 to 506 of the family's 1533-position model. The record is from RNAcentral.
ACACGGUCCAGAUCUUUUAGGGAAGGCAGCAGUGAGGAAUAUUUGUCAAUGGGCGAAAGUCUGGAGACUAGCCAUCCCGCUGUGCAGGAAUAAGGUCCUUAGGAGUCGUGAAACUGCUUUUGUAACUACUGGAAAUCAUUCUACGUGUAGAGUGCUAGACGUAAGGUUCACGAAUAAGAAUCGGCUAACUCCGU